GAUGAACGCUGGCGGCGUGCCUAAUACAUGCAAGUCGAGCGAACAGACGAGGAGCUUUCUCCUCUGACGUUAGCGGCGGACGGGUGAGUAACACGUGGAUAACCUACCUAUAAGACUGGGAUAACUUCGGGAAACCGGAGCUAAUACCGGAUAAUAUAUUGAACCGCAUUGUUCAAUAGUUAAAUACGGUUUUUCUGUCACUUAUAGCCUGAUCCGCGCCGCAUUAGCUAGUUGGUAAGGUAACGGCUUAGCAAGGCAACGAUGCGUAGCCGACCUGAGAGGGUGAUCGGCCAGACUGGAACUGAGACACGGUCCAGACUCCUACGGGAGGCAGCAGUAGGGAAUCUUCCGCGAUGGGCGAGAGCUUGACGGAGCAACGCCGCGGGAGUGAUGAAGGUCUUCGGAUCGUAAAGCUCUGUUAUUAGGGGAGAACAAAUGUGUAAGUACCUAUGCACGUAUUGACGGUACCUAAUCAGAAAGCCACGGCUAACUACGUG
RNAcentral lists this ribosomal RNA (497 nucleotides) under uncultured bacterium. RNAcentral describes it as "partial 16S ribosomal RNA". It matches the Rfam family "Bacterial small subunit ribosomal RNA", at positions 28 to 507 of the family's 1533-position model. The record is from RNAcentral.